This 253-nucleotide ribosomal RNA is filed under the name uncultured bacterium. Its description in RNAcentral is "partial 16S ribosomal RNA". It matches the Rfam family "Bacterial small subunit ribosomal RNA", at positions 524 to 776 of the family's 1533-position model. The record is from RNAcentral.
UACGUAGGGGGCAAGCGUUGUCCGGAAUCAUUGGGCGUAAAGCGCGUGUAGGCGGCCCGGUAAGUCCGCUCUGAAAGUCACAGGCUCAACCUGUGAAAGCGGGUGGAUACUGCCGGGCUAGAGUCCGGAAGAGGCGAGUGGAAUUCCUGGUGUAGCGGUGGAAUGCGCAGAUAUCAGGAGGAACACCAACGGCGAAGGCAGCUCGCUGGGACGGUACUGACACUGAGGCGCGAAAGCGUGGGGAGCGAACAGG